GCUUACGGCCAUACCACCCUGAACACGCCCGAUCUCGGAAGCUAAGCAGGGUCGGGCCUGGUUAGUACUUGGAUGGGAGACCUGGGAAUACCAGGUGCUGUAAGCU
RNAcentral lists this ribosomal RNA (106 nucleotides) under Labrus bergylta (ballan wrasse). The record is from RNAcentral. Lineage: Eukaryota; Metazoa; Chordata; Actinopteri; Labriformes; Labridae.